UUUUAGCCCUGAUUGAACGGCAUGUUUGAGCUCUUUCCGGGAUUUUUGGCGGCGGCUUUGCCGCCGCCAAAAAUCCCGGAAAAGCGAGUAGUGAAAGCAGGUUCCCGG
Molecule: unclassified non-coding RNA, 108 nt
Filed under: Chryseobacterium formosense
Lineage: Bacteria; Pseudomonadati; Bacteroidota; Flavobacteriia; Flavobacteriales; Weeksellaceae
Description: Flavo-1 RNA
Source: RNAcentral